Molecule: long non-coding RNA, 1715 nt
Filed under: Homo sapiens (human)
Lineage: Eukaryota; Metazoa; Chordata; Mammalia; Primates; Hominidae
Description: HSALNT0380450
Source: RNAcentral
AAACAGUGGUUUCUUGAGAUGGAAUCUACUCCUUGUGAAGAUGCUGUGAACAUUGUUGAAAUGACAGCAAAGGAUUUAGAAUAUUCCAUAAACUUAGUUGAUAAAGCAGUGCCAGGGUUUGAGAGGACCGACUCCAAUUUUGGAGGAAGUUUUACCGUGGGUAAAAUGCUAUCAGCAUUGCACACUACAGAGAAGUCCAUCACUAAAAGACUAGUCAAUUGGGUGUGGCAAACUUCAUUGUUGUCUUAUUUGAAGAAAUUGCCACAGCCACCCAAACCUCAGCAACCACCACCCUGAUCAGUCUGCAACCAUCAACAUUGAAUCAAGACCUUCCAGCAGGAAAAAGACCAAAACUUGCUGAAGGCUUAGAUGAUUGUUAGCAUUUGUUAGCAAAAAAAGUAUUUUUAAAUUAAGGUAUGUACAUUAUUUUUAUAGACAGAAUGCUAUUGCACACUUAAUAGGCUACAGUAUAGUUUAAACAUAACUUUUAUAUGCACUGGGAAACCAAAAAAUGUGUGUGACUCACUUUAUUGUGAUAUUUGCUUUAUUGCAGUGGUCUGGAACCAAACCCACAAUAUCUUUGAGGUCUGCCUGUACGAGAACUGGGUGGUGGGAAAAGUGGGGCUUGUUUUUCCUUUCUUUGUAUUCACUGUAGGUGUGAAAUGUUUGACAAUUUGACAGUCUGUGACAUGGUUCACAGAUGUGGUUCCUGCAUGUUAUCAGGGCUUGGCCAGGUUCAGGCAGGCCUGCAGGCUGUCCCUACAACGGGCAGAUUGAAGUGUGCACAGAUGUCCGUGACAGGGCUGUGACCAGCCUGUGAUCAGGCUGUGACCAGGUUGCUGCCUGGACCAGGCAGAGCUUUGUCCCAUAAUAGGGGUGCUGCCAGGGAGUCUGGCACCUGGAGCACAGCCACUGGCUUGGACAUGAGCCAUCAAACAGCAUGGAAUAAAAAUAGAACUGCUUCAGCCGGAGAGGAGACAGGCUGAGCUCCUUGCUGGGAGGCCUUUAAAACAAGAACAGGUUUCAUUGAUCUGAGACUAGGUAAGGAUGCUGCCACGAGUCAGGAAGGAGUCGAAGUCAUCUGUCCUGGUACCUGGAAGUGCCUGAACAUGAUGGGCCUGGGUGGUUAUUAUUCUUCUCAUCAGCUGGCACUGUAACUUUAGGUGACAAAGAAGACAAGGAAGACAAGGAAGGUGAUCCGGGAGGCUGGAGAGCUUGUCAAGGUCACAGACCCACGGUUUUCCGCCCCCUAGGGUCCAAGCUCUUUCCUGGACAUCUGCAGGCAAUGUCGACACGCCCUCCAGUGUCUGUGGCGGGCAAAGGAUGUGUCUCCACCCCCAGACCUUCCGAUCCUGUGCUGAAAGUGUCCCUCAGCCUGUUUCCUGAGAAGCCCAGGGGCUUUUGGCUUGUUACUUUUUCUUUCUCUUGAAGUAAACAGAAUAAAAGAGAGUUGCUCAGACGUCUUUGGCUGUGACCCACAGGAGAUGAUGCAAUCUCCACGGCACCCCCACAUGCAUGUGUAUGCACAGGCGUGUACAGAUAUCUAAAACUGGCACCAAUUUCACAAAAACACUCACCCUUAUGCGAGACACAUUCACCCUACACUCAUCCCCCAUCUCUACAGAAAAUUAAAGUAUACAUUCAUAGUUGCUGUAUUCAUGCAUGUACAGAUGUAUGUACAUUUAUUCAUGUAUGUGUAUAACUUAUGCCAUUUU